AUCCGACAGGACAACAAUUUCCAUGUGUAUUUAACUGCGCACAAAUAGUGACUCGAUGCGUCAAAUGUUUACCAAACCUCUUUGAAUCCGGCAAUCUUUUAUUUAUUUAUCAAAAAAGGAUCGAACCUGUCAUUCAUUGGUGGGAUCGGCAUAACCUUUGUAACCAUUGAUACGAGAUUUCAUUGCCUGUCAAACAGGCACUUCAGUUGGUGUCAUAUUAAAGCAUUUCACUCUUUUUGUGUCAUUUUUUCUAACUCAAGAUUCAUUUUCCUUCCCUUUUUUACCGGUUUUUCUAAAAGACAAGACUUAUUCAUAAGGACGUUGAAAGAUGAUGUUAAGCUUAAAGCUUCUGGUGGUCACGUGCCUGUUCAUGAGGUUGUCGUCCGCCACUCCCCUUCCGCAUGGUGUGAACAUCGAUGACGAUUCUUUCAGGAGCAACAUGUGUGGAUUCCUCUGCACCAAGAGUCCACCAGAAGGAGGGUCAUUUUGCAACUGCGACAGACAUCCGCUGGGAAAGAGAUCCGUCAAUGAUAAUCCUUUUUAAACACACUGUGCUGGAAGAGUCGCAGUUUUCAGUGGGAAUGUUUCCUUCCUGACUAUUCUUCCACUAAGGAUUGGCAUUAAGGUGGAAG
Molecule: long non-coding RNA, 632 nt
Organism: Parasteatoda tepidariorum (common house spider)
Lineage: Eukaryota; Metazoa; Arthropoda; Arachnida; Araneae; Theridiidae
Source: RefSeq, a predicted model, not a curated record